CUAUACAACUUUCAACAACGGAUCUCUUGGCUCUCGCAUCGAUGAAGAACGCAGCGAAAUGCGAUAAGUAAUGUGAAUUGCAGAAUUCAGUGAAUCAUCGAAUCUUUGAACGCACCUUGCGCUCCUUGGUAUUCCGAGGAGCAUGCCUGUUU
Molecule: ribosomal RNA, 152 nt
Filed under: Tricholoma sejunctum
Lineage: Eukaryota; Fungi; Basidiomycota; Agaricomycetes; Agaricales; Tricholomataceae
Also listed under: 1 other name
Description: 5.8S rRNA
Rfam family: 5.8S ribosomal RNA
About the family: 5.8S ribosomal RNA (5.8S rRNA) is a component of the large subunit of the eukaryotic ribosome. It is transcribed by RNA polymerase I as part of the 45S precursor that also contains 18S and 28S rRNA.
Source: RNAcentral